RNAcentral lists this ribosomal RNA (1843 nucleotides) under beach sand metagenome. RNAcentral's name for it is "bacterial LSU rRNA". It matches the Rfam family "Bacterial large subunit ribosomal RNA", at positions 1 to 1976 of the family's 2925-position model. The record is from RNAcentral.
UCAAGCGUCAAAAGGGCAUCCGGGGGAUGUCUUGGCGGUAAGAGGCGAUGAAGGACGUGGCACUCUGCGAUAAGCGCCGGGGAGGCGAGAGCACCCUGUGAUCCGGCGAUUUCCGAAUGGGGAAACCCAUCUCAAUGUUGGCAGGUUUAUGGCGGGUCACCUUGGUGGCGCGCUAUCGGCCUACCAACUUCUAAACGAGAUAUUUCACACUGAAUACAUAGGUGUUGAAAAGCAAACCCGGGGAAUUGAAACAUCUAAGUACCCGGAGGAAAGGACAUCAACCGAGACUCCGUUAGUAGUGGCGAGCGAACGCGGACCAGGCCUGGUCUGAAACAAGGCGAAGUGUAUGGAAAUGCACGCCAUAGUGGGUGAUAGCCCCGUAGCCGUAAAAUGAAGACCUUUUCGAGUAGGGCGGGACACGUGAAAUCCUGUCUGAACAUGGGGGGACCACCCUCCAAGCCUAAGUACUCCUUACCGACCGAUAGUGAACAAGUACCGUGAGGGAAAGAUGAAAAGCACCCCGAUAAGGGGAGUGAAACAGACCCUGAAACCGGAUGCCUACAAGCAGAGGGAGCUCUUCGGAGUGACCUCGUACCUUUUGUAUAAUGGGUCAGCGACUUAGUGUUGCGUGCAAGCUUAAGCCGUUAGGUGUAGGCACAGCGAAAGCGAGUCUGAAUAGGGCGAAUUAGUACGUAGCAUUAGACCCGAAGCCGAGUGAUCUAGGUAUGGGCAGGGUGAAGGUGCGGUAACACGCACUGGAGGCCCGAACCGUUGAACGUUGAAAAGUUCUCGGAUGACCUGUGCCUAGGGGUGAAAGGCCAAUCAAACUCGGUGAUAGCUGGUUCUCCGCGAAAUCUAUUUAGGUAGAGCGUCAGACGAAUACUCCAGGGGGUAGAGCACUGGAUGGGCUAGGGGUCCUCACCGGAUUACCAAACCUUACCAAACUCCGAAUACCUGGAAGUACUAUCUGGCAGACACACGGCGGGUGCUAACGUCCGUCGUGGAGAGGGAAACAACCCUGACCGCCAAUUAAGGCCCCCAAGUAACGACUAAGUGCGAAAGGAUGUGGAGGUGCUGAGACAAUCAGGAGGUUGGCUUAGAAGCAGCCAUCCUUUAAAGAAAGCGUAACAGCUCACUGAUCAAGCGCCUCUGCGCCGAAAAUGUAACGGGACUAAAGUCGUUCGCCGAAAUUGCGGACACGUAAGUGUGGUAGCGGAGCGUUCCGUAAGCCUGCGAAGGUGACCUGCGAGGGUUGCUGGAGGUAUCGGAAGUGAGAAUGCUGACAUGAGUAGCGAUAAAGCGGGUGAGAGACCCGCUCGCCGAAAGUCCAAGGGUUCCUGCGUAAAGCUAAUCUGCGCAGGGUUAGCCGGCCCCUAAGGCGAGGCCGAAAGGCGUAGUCGAUGGGAACACAGUUAAUAUUCUGUGGCCAUGGAGUGUGUGACGGAUUGCGGAAGUUGUCAUCCCUUAUUGGAUUGGGGUGGCAGCCAAACAGUCCCUGGAAAUAGCCCUCCUUUAGACCGUACCCUAAACCAACACAGGUGGACAGGUAGAGAAUACCAAGGCGCUUGAGAGAACUAUGCUGAAGGAACUCGGCAAAUUACCUCCGUAACUUCGGGAGAAGGAGGCCUUGUCUUAGGGCAACCUAAGGCGAGGGGCACAGACCAGGGGGUUGCGACUGUUUAUCAAAAACACAGGGCUCUGCGAAGCCGCAAGGCGACGUAUAGGGUCUGACGCCUGCCCGGUGCCGGAAGGUUAAAAGGAGGAGUGAGAGCUCCGAAUUGAAGCCCCGGUGAACGGCGGCCGUAACUAUAACGGUCCUAAGGUAGCGAAAUUCCUUGUCGGG